GUUAAAAAGCUCGUAGUUGGAUCUCGGCAGGUAGGGGGCGGUUCGUUUCUGACGGCACUGCCCCAUUUACCUGUGUUUUUGACGGAGGUUUCACGGUGAUUUUCAUCGAUUGUCGUGAUACGCCGUCAGGUUUACUUUGAAAAAAUUAGAGUGCUCAAAGCAGGCUACAAGCUUGAAUAUUUGUGCAUGGAAUAAUGGAAUAGGAAGUCGUUUCUAUUUUUUUGGUUUUCGGAAAUUGACUUAAUGAUUAAUAGGGACAGCCGGGGGCAUUCGUACUCAGACGACAGAGGUGAAAUUCUUGGACCGUCUGAGGACGAGCUACUGCGAAAGCAUUUGCCAAGAGUGUUUU
This 349-nucleotide ribosomal RNA is filed under the name uncultured marine eukaryote. RNAcentral describes it as "partial 18S ribosomal RNA". It matches the Rfam family "Eukaryotic small subunit ribosomal RNA", at positions 618 to 970 of the family's 1831-position model. The record is from RNAcentral.